GAGUUUGAUCAUGGCUCAGGACAAACGCUGGCGGCGUGCAUAACACAUGCAAGUCGAACGAAAUCUACAUGAUUUAGUGGCGAACGGGUGAGUAACACGUGAGAAACCUGCCUUACACAGAGGGAUAGCCGUUGGAAACGACGAUUAAUACCUCAUGACACCGUGACAUCGCAUGAUGAUGCGGUCAAAGAUUAAUCGGUGUAAGAUGGUCUCGCGCCUGAUUAGCUGGUUGGUGGGGUAACGGCCUACCAAGGCGACGAUCAGUAGCCGAUCUGAGAGGGUGGACGGCCACAUUGGGACUGAGACACGGCCCAAACUCCUACGGGAGGCAGCAGUGGGGAAUUUUGCACAAUGGGGGAAACCCUGAUGCAGCGACGCCGCGUGAACGAAGAAGGCCUUCGGGUUGUAAAGUUUCUGUNCCUUGGUGAAGAUAAUGACCGUACCCAGAAG
Molecule: ribosomal RNA, 450 nt
Filed under: Helcococcus sp. canine oral taxon 069
Lineage: Bacteria; Bacillati; Bacillota; Tissierellia; Tissierellales; Peptoniphilaceae
Description: bacterial SSU rRNA
Rfam family: Bacterial small subunit ribosomal RNA
Source: RNAcentral